Molecule: ribosomal RNA, 520 nt
Filed under: uncultured Glomus
Lineage: Eukaryota; Fungi; Glomeromycota; Glomeromycetes; Glomerales; Glomeraceae
Description: SSU rRNA
Rfam family: Eukaryotic small subunit ribosomal RNA
Source: RNAcentral
CGCAGCCGCGGUAAUUCCAGCUCCAAUAGCGUAUAUUAAAGUUGUUGCAGUUAAAAAGCUCGUAGUUGAAUUUCGGGAUUGACACAUCGGUCGUGCCUUAAGGGGUAUGAACUGGUGUAGUCAAUUUCUCACCUUCUGGAGAACCGCGAUGUCCUUAAUUGGGUGCCGCGAGGAACCAGGACCUUUACUUUGAAAAAAUUAGAGUGUUUAAAGCAGGCAUUUUUGCUUGAAUACAUUAGCAUGGAAUAAUAAAAUAGGACGGCAUGAUUCUAUUUUGUUGGUUUCUAGGAUCACCGUAAUGAUUAAUAGGGAUAGUUGGGGGCAUUAGUAUUCAAUUGUCAGAGGUGAAAUUCUUGGAUUUAUUGAAGACUAACUACUGCGAAAGCAUUUGCCAAGGAUGUUUUCAUUAAUCAAGAACGAAAGUUAGGGGAUCGAAGACGAUCAGAUACCGUCGUAGUCUUAACCAUAAACUAUGCCGACUAGGAAUCAGACGAUGUUAAUUUUUUAAUGACUCGUUUGG